RNAcentral lists this ribosomal RNA (446 nucleotides) under uncultured bacterium. RNAcentral's name for it is "partial 16S ribosomal RNA". It matches the Rfam family "Bacterial small subunit ribosomal RNA", at positions 338 to 795 of the family's 1533-position model. The record is from RNAcentral.
CCUACGGGUGGCAGCAGUCGAGAAUCAUUCACAAUGGGGGAAACCCUGAUGGUGCGACGCCGCGUGGGGGAAUGAAGGUCUUCGGAUUGUAAACCCCUGUCAUGUGGGAGCAAAUUAAAAAGAUAGUACCACAAGAGGAAGAGACGGCUAACUCUGUGCCAGCAGCCGCGGUAAUACAGAGGUCUCAAGCGUUGUUCGGAAUCACUGGGCGUAAAGCGUGCGUAGGCAGUUUCGUAAAGCGUGUGUGAAAGGCGCGGGCUCAACCCGCGGACGGCACAUGAUACUGCGAGACUAGAGUAAGGGAGGGGGAACCGGAAUUCUCGGUGUAGCAGUGAAAUGCGUAGAUAUCGAGAGGAACACUCGUGGCGAAGGCGGGUUCCUGGACAUUAACUGACGCUGAGGCACGAAGGCCAGGGGAGCGAAAGGGAUUAGAUACCCUUGUAGUC